Molecule: RNA transcript, 2597 nt
Organism: Salvia miltiorrhiza (redroot sage)
Lineage: Eukaryota; Viridiplantae; Streptophyta; Magnoliopsida; Lamiales; Lamiaceae
Exons: 6
Source: RefSeq, a predicted model, not a curated record
UUCAAAAUCAGAUCUCUAGGGUUUCAAGUUUCACUUUGAAUUUCUCUUUCUCCGGUGAAUCUCGCCGCCGCCGCCGCCGCCGCCGCUGCCGCUGCUCGACCGUUCCUCACGCCCUCUGCUCUCACCGUUUCAGGUAUUCCUUCUCUCUUACUCGUUCUCUCUCCCCUUGCCAUCUACGCUUCCUCACCGAUCUCCCUCCACCCCCUGCUCUCGUUCGCGGCGCCGUCGCGAAUCGCCGCUGCGUAUCCUUGCUAUGGUAUCCUCAUCGCUGCUGCUGUCGAAAGCUCGCGGCAGUUCGGCAGUCGCCGAGGAAAUCUCGGCUGCGGCGGGCGAUGAGAGCGUGAUUCGGGAAGAUAAGCUGCGUAGCACAAGGAAUCAUCGGCGACAUACGACUGGACCGAGGAAUGGUAUCCGUUGUACCUCGCGAAGCAAGUAUCGGACGACGCGCCGCUAGGGCUCACCGCGACAUCUGCCGCAAACCGCCGCGGCUCGAGCAGCACCAGCGGUCGUCGCCGCCAGGUGCACCUCCACCGUGGAAUCGACCGAAUGUCGAACGUUGUCGAUUCGAGGGUGAGAAAUGAGCAAAGAGGAACAUGAACUCAGCUUUAUCCAGGCUGACACAUGUUUUAAAUGAUCAUGUUAUCCUAAUUAAGAUUUAUAAACUUGUUUCAUAUAACUUAUUAGCAUAUAAUGUGAAAAAUCUAUGCUACUGAAAUUUCAAAUUUCAGCUUAAUCUAAAUUUUUCACUUUAACAGACCAAUUAACAUAUAUGAGUAGUUUAGUUGCAUUUUCUGAUUCCUCAUACUGUUGCAUUUAUCCGGAAGGCACUUGGUUGUUUUGAUUGUCCUUAUUGUUUAUGUUGGGCUACUAAUUUCCUAUUGCCUUUACCAGGUAUUUUGCUUAUUAAUUGCAUCUUCAUAGCAUAUUAUACUAGUUUUCAAUUUCCAAUCUAUCAUUGUAGCAAGGGCUUAUCUAGGUUCAUGGGUUAAGCCCCAAAAUCCUAGGGGACCCUUUGAAAAUCCAUGUUCUUUUCCAAUGAUAGAUUGGCUUCUCAUAUUGCGUUGAACUGAUUAAUGAUUUCUAAUCGAUGAAAUUUCCAAGAACAAAUCUGAUAUGGAGACCAUCUUGUCCUAUAUUUCCAGCCUUGGUUUCAGAAGCAGCGUCUUACUUAUGUAAAGCAUAAACAUGUCAUUGUAGGAAUCCUAAAGCAUUUUAGUUCAAGUCCUUUGGGGAAGCUUAGCACAGAAGAUGGAAAACCUAAUGUUGAUGUAUUAAAGAAGAUCUUUAAAAGGAUUGAUGAUGACGAUGAUGGAAAACAUUUCACGCAUAGAAAUAGGGAGCAAAUGCGAUCUAUUUUGCUUUGGUUGUAGCAAAUGCGAUCUAUUUUGCAGCAAAUCCUUUCAUGCAUGGAAAAGGAUCUAGUAUUGUAGGAUCUGGUAUUCCAAUCUUGUUUUGGUUGCUUCAGCAAAUGUGAUCUAUUUUGGGGAUCAGAGCAGAGCAGGUGAGUGUUGGUAUUAUUGAAAAAUAGAGAAUUAGGCAGCAACAUCAAUGGUUGUUGCUCGAAUGCAUCUUCUCAUCUGAAAAUCUACCAAACAUUCAUAUUCUCAGUCCCAAUUUUCUUCACAUUUAUACUUUUCUUGUUUUAUUGGUUCUAUCACACUCACAAUUUCACAUAUAUGAGUAGAUGCAUAAUUUGUUGUAGUCCUCUGCAAGUCGAUUAACUCUCAACAUUUCCUUUCACUGUGAUUACAGAAGGUGAAAUUCGCGCCCAAUCCCAGCCUUCACUCUUUCGAAGUAAAUGAUGUUGAUUCCUCUGCUCUUACAGCAAGAUAUUUAAUUUAAAGGAGAAUAUUUUAUUUUAAUCUCAACCAUUUCACAGGCAAUUAAUUAAAAUGAAAAUUCAAGACUUCAUAGUUGAAUUUAGUCAUAAUGCUUGCAGGAUGGAAAUGAGUUAAAUUCACAGUUGAAUUUAGUCAAAAAGCAUGAAAAAUGAAGUUUGUUGGACAAUCUCUAAUAUAACUGUUGGUAACAGAGCUCAAAUUCAGGUACUUGGUUCAUACAUUGCAUAAUUGUUUGACUCUUAAUUCGUAUGUUCUAUUAUAGGAUGGUAAGCUGAAUUCACUAGAAGACAAGCAGGUUCGGGUUUUCCUUCAAAUGAGAUGUUCUUGUUUGGGCAGUUUGUGGCUUUUUAUGUAAGUCCAUAUAUAAUAUUAAUGUCUUACUAAGUGAUGAUAUUUAGUUGUUUGGGCAGAUGGUGAUUUACCUAUUACUAUGGACAAGUUAUGAUGAGAUUAUUUGUUAACUUGUAAUGAAAAUCACAACUCUAUUAUUUUCUCGACUUGUGUUAUGUUUGAGAUGUGCAGGAUAGGAAGCUUGGGAUCAAUUCAAUGAAUUGGGAUGGAAGUUUGGAUGGAUGAAUGGAAUGUUGUUGACUGAAAGCCGCUUAGAGUACUUAUUUUUUGUUGAAAAUUGUAAAUUGACUAUUCUAGCUACUUAGAUACAUUACUUGGUUGGUUAAUAUUUAACAGUUUGAUUAUGGAUGGAUGGAGUUAUUUGGAUUAUUAAAUAUUUAUAUAAUAUAUGUUUUGGUUGUAGCA